AACGCAUCUUGCGCCUUUUGGUAUUCCGAAAGGCACACUUGUUUGAGUGUCAUAAAAAUAUCAAUUUCUUUUUGUUAUAGAAAGGAAUCGGAUUAUGAGUGUUGCUGUGUUACAGCUCGCUUAAAAUGUAUUAGUCCUCCAAUUGCCGGAUAGACUUGGUGUAAUAAGACCUUUCACCAAGGAGAUGCUUUGCAGGCCGGCCAAUUAAGAGGUACUGCAAAAUGUUUAUUAUCAUUUGGACAUCAAAUCAAGUGGGACCACCCGCUGAACUUAA
RNAcentral lists this unclassified non-coding RNA (274 nucleotides) under uncultured fungus. Its description in RNAcentral is "sequence contains ITS2". Lineage: Eukaryota; Fungi. The record is from RNAcentral.